RNAcentral lists this long non-coding RNA (314 nucleotides) under Brassica napus (rape). RNAcentral's name for it is "long non-coding RNA (BNAP_LNC016304)". Lineage: Eukaryota; Viridiplantae; Streptophyta; Magnoliopsida; Brassicales; Brassicaceae. The record is from RNAcentral.
UACGUGAGUGAAAAUUAGAUGUUGUACUAAUCGUAACAUGAACACGCUUUUUGGAAUGAUCACCGACGAUAAUCCUAACGGUUGCGCUCUAUAGCAAAAUCAUGCACUUUGAACAACCCAAAACCAUGCGCUCGGAUUGUAUAUACAAAUACGACUCAAGGGUUGAAACCUAAAACACUGAUAAUGUUUGUAAAACUUGGGUCACAAAGAUCCAUUUCAGAAUAUAAAGAUUAAAUAAACCAGCUUAAAUUAACCAUCAUAUAUGAUGUACUUUUAAACUAUUCAAAGACUGUAGGAAAACUAAUCACCCUCAA